Small nucleolar RNA from Malania oleifera, 106 nucleotides. Lineage: Eukaryota; Viridiplantae; Streptophyta; Magnoliopsida; Santalales; Ximeniaceae. The record is from RefSeq and is a predicted model, not a curated record.
AAUCCAUGAUGUGGACAGAUAUUCAUCAGAUCCUUAAACCUCUUCCAGCAAGCCUGGAAGGUCUCCUCACCUUUCUGCAUGAAUUGACUGAUUUGCUCCUGUAGAU